This 429-nucleotide ribosomal RNA is filed under the name Gemmatimonadota bacterium. Its description in RNAcentral is "Gemmatimonadetes bacterium partial 16S ribosomal RNA". It matches the Rfam family "Bacterial small subunit ribosomal RNA", at positions 355 to 776 of the family's 1533-position model. Lineage: Bacteria; Pseudomonadati; Gemmatimonadota. The record is from RNAcentral.
UAGGGAAUCUUCGGCAAUGGACGAAAGUCUGACCGAGCAACGCCGCGUGAGUGAAGAAGGUUUUCGGAUCGUAAAACUCUGUUGUUAGAGAAGAACAAGGACGUUAGUAACUGAACGUCCCCUGACGGUAUCUAACCAGAAAGCCACGGCUAACUACGUGCCAGCAGCCGCGGUAAUACGUAGGUGGCAAGCGUUGUCCGGAUUUAUUGGGCGUAAAGCGAGCGCAGGCGGUUUCUUAAGUCUGAUGUGAAAGCCCCCGGCUCAACCGGGGAGGGUCAUUGGAAACUGGGAGACUUGAGUGCAGAAGAGGAGAGUGGAAUUCCAUGUGUAGCGGUGAAAUGCGUAGAUAUAUGGAGGAACACCAGUGGCGAAGGCGGCUCUCUGGUCUGUAACUGACGCUGAGGCUCGAAAGCGUGGGGUGCAAACAGG